AUUGAACGCUGGCGGCAGGCCUAACACAUGCAAGUCGAGCGGCAGCGGAAAGUAGCUUGCUACUUUGCCGGCGAGCGGCGGACGGGUGAGUAAUGUCUGGGAAACUGCCUGAUGGAGGGGGAUAACUACUGGAAACGGUGGCUAAUACCGCAUAACGUCGCAAGACCAAAGUGGGGGACCUUCGGGCCUCACGCCAUCGGAUGUGCCCAGAUGGGAUUAGCUAGUAGGUGGGGUAAUGGCUCACCUAGGCGACGAUCCCUAGCUGGUCUGAGAGGAUGACCAGCCACACUGGAACUGAGACACGGUCCAGACUCCUACGGGAGGCAGCAGUGGGGAAUAUUGCACAAUGGGCGCAAGCCUGAUGCAGCCAUGCCGCGUGUGUGAAGAAGGCCUUCGGGUUGUAAAGCACUUUCAGCGAGGAGGAAGGCAUCACACUUAAUACGUGUGGUGAUUGACGUUACUCGCAGAAGAAGCACCGGCUAACUCCGUGCCAGCAGCCGCGGUAAUACGGAGGGUGCAAGCGUUAAUCGGANNUACUGGGCGUAAAGCGCACGCAGGCGGUUUGUUAANUCANAUGUGAAAUCCCCGCGCUUAACGUGGGAACUGCAUUUGAAACUGGCAAGCUAGAGUCUUGUAGAGGGGGGUAGAAUUNC
RNAcentral lists this ribosomal RNA (653 nucleotides) under uncultured prokaryote. RNAcentral's name for it is "bacterial SSU rRNA". It matches the Rfam family "Bacterial small subunit ribosomal RNA", at positions 28 to 670 of the family's 1533-position model. The record is from RNAcentral.